Non-coding RNA from Pantherophis guttatus, 1060 nucleotides. Lineage: Eukaryota; Metazoa; Chordata; Lepidosauria; Squamata; Colubridae. The record is from RefSeq and is a predicted model, not a curated record.
CCAUUAUAACUCUCAACAGUCAUUAAGUGAUGUAAGUUGAGGACUACCUGUACUCUGCAAAGCUUUUGCAAGCUAUUCAGCCACAGCCUUUCUACACUACAAUACAGGAAGAAAAUCAGAACUGGAAGCGACCUUGGACCUUCUAGACUAAGCUUCUACUUCUACAGGAGACCUUAUAUCAUCCUGGUCAAGUGACUGUCUAGUUUAUGCUUGAAAACCUCCAGCAAUGGAGCACUUAUAUCUCUGGGAGGAAAGCUGUUCCAAUGAUUAAUUAAAAGUUAAUUAACUGUCAGGAAAUUUCUCCUUAGUUCUAGAUUGGUUCUCUUUAACAAGCUCCAACUCAUUGUUUCUUAUCCUGCCCUCUGGUGCUUUAGAUAAGUUGACCUCUUUUUCUCUGUGACAGCUCAAGUAUUGGAAGACAGCCAUCAUGUCACCUAGUUCCUCUCUUCCUUAGACUAGACAUACCCAAUUCCUGCAGCUGCUCAUCAUAUGCUUUAGCCUCCAGUCCCCUAACAACAUUUUUGUUGCUUUCCUCUCCUCUCCUUCCUUCUCCUCUCUUCCCUUCCCCCCCUCCAGAAUAACUAUGAAGUAUGGAAUGAUAUUAACAAAGACCUAGUGAGAUAGGGUAAAUUACAAUCAUGUAGAAUCUUGGACUUUUUGUUUGAGAAAAAUAGAAAUGAAGUUUUGAUUUUAGCAUUCAAUGAUUAGCUCUGUCAUGAUAAAAAUAUCGGACGUUGUCUUACCUGAACGUCCUUUCUCGGCGCACUGCUAGAGAAUAUGUAUUUUUAUUAUUAGACAUGUUUACUAUGUAUUCUUUUAUGUUUAUUUUAAGUUUAAAUAGAUGUUAUUUUAUUACAAAAUUGUUAUUUUGAUUGUUUAAAUAAUAUUUUUAUAUUGUCUGUGUUUUAACUUAAGAGUAAGAGGUUACUAUAUAACUGAAUCCCCCUUUUAACUUUUCCCACUUUUGAUCCCCUCCAUUUUUCCUUUUAUUUUGUAUUUUAUCCUUCUUUGAAAUGUAAUAAAGUUGAUUAAUAAAGACAUCCAAAAAGCUUCCUUCCCA